UACGGAAGGCAGCAGUGGGGAAUCUUGCGCAAUGGGCGAAAGCCUGACGCAGCCAUGCCGCGUGAAUGAUGAAGGUCUUAGGAUUGUAAAAUUCUUUCACCGGGGACGAUAAUGACGGUACCCGGAGAAGAAGCCCCGGCUAACUUCGUGCCAGCAGCCGCGGUAAUACGAAGGGGCUAGCGUUGCUCGGAAUUACUGGGCGUAAAGGGCGCGUAGGCGGAUCGUUAAGUCAGAGGUGAAAUCCCAGGGCUCAACCCUGGAACUGCCUUUGAUACUGGCGAUCUUGAGUAUGAGAGAGGUAUGCGGAACUCCGAGUGUAGAGGUGAAAUUCGUAGAUAUUCGGAAGAACACCAGUGGCGAAGGCGACAUACUGGCUCAUUACUGACGCUGAGGCGCGAAAGCGUGGGGAGCAAACAGGGAUUAGAUACC
RNAcentral lists this ribosomal RNA (429 nucleotides) under uncultured bacterium. Its description in RNAcentral is "bacterial SSU rRNA". It matches the Rfam family "Bacterial small subunit ribosomal RNA", at positions 340 to 786 of the family's 1533-position model. The record is from RNAcentral.